AUGCGGUUCUUCGAUGGACGGAAUUACAGGAUCAAUAAAGUCCUCCUGUCAUGUGUCGGACAAUGGCCAUAUCAAACGAAUAGAAGUAGCAAUGCUAUAAUUAUCAUUAUGGUGUCUUUAGCUGGCACGCAAUUUAUCGCCAAGAUAUGUGGUUUGUUCUCUAUUGAUAACGCCGAUGUAUUUAUCGAUUCUUUUUCACCAUUGAUAGUUGAUUUAGCAUGUGGUGUAAAAUUAAUCACUUGCAUAUUAAAAGCAACUGAGAUCAAGGCACUUUUUAAUCAAAUACAAUCCGAUUGGCAAUUAUUAACAACACCUUCAUACAUCAAGGUUCUUAAUAAUUACGCGCAAAAUGGACGGACAUUUACGAUCAUAUACGCCAGUGUUUUUUAUUCUGCAUUGAUAUUAUUUAUGUUAAUACCAUUGCAACCAUUGUUACUGGGUCCUUCUUCAAAUGAUACAAGUCGACCCGCGUUGUUACAUCAAGUUGAGUAUUAUAUCGAUAUGGAGAAAUAUUACUUUCCAAUCUUAAUUCAUGGGUACAUUACAGCUGUCAUUUGUGUAAGCAUAGCCAUUGCAGCAGAUACAAUGUAUGUAAUAGUUGUACAACAUGUCUGCGGACUAUUUAUGAUCAUCGGGCAACAACUAGAAAAUGCAAUAAAAGAAGAUAAUAUAGAAAUAAAUUUUAAGCCAUCAAUAACAGACGAUAAGCCGUAUGGCAAUAUUAUAAGCAGUAUUCGUGCACACAAGAGAGCUCUGAGAUUUGCCAGUCUCAUUGAAGCAACGUUUAGCCCAAUGUUUCUUGUAGUAGCGGGUUUCAACAUGGUCAUCAUAAGCAUGACAGGUGUCACGGCAGUCUCAAAUAUGGACAAACCGGAAGAGUUUUUUAGACAAAUAACAUUUUCAUGUGCAUUAUUAGUGCAUCUAUUUUUUGAGAGUUUUCAAGCGCAUCGUCUAAUUGAUCAUAGCACAUAUAUUCACACCAGUUUAAUAAACCUAGCAUGGUAUGAAACUUCAUUUCGGACAAGGAAACUCUUAAUCUUCAUGUUAAUGAAAACGCGAGAACCCUGUGUAUUAACAGCAGGUAAAAUGUUUGUCAUAUCCAUGGAUACUUUCUCUACGAUUGUACGUACAUCAGUGUCAUAUUUCACAAUGUUGCGUUCGAUGCAAUAGUUUAUUUACAUUGGUAUUACGUUUUAAAAUCUAAAAUACAUUAUUAUAAGAUAUAAAUAGUUCAUUGUACUGUUUUGACUGAGAAGAAGUUUAAAAUUAAGAGAUAUGACCCACUUAACAUGAAACCUUCAGGGAACGUUACAUUUUGACCCUAAUUUAGUGAAUUUGUAACGUUUUAUAUGUAUAGAAUGAAAUAAAAAAAUUCCACAUUGCAUGCCAUUUGACCUUCUCAAAAACCAGAAAUUGGAAAGCAAGCGACAUUACGCCGUCAUAUUUAAACUAGAAAAAAAUUUGAUUUAACAAAUCUACGAAUUAUAAGAAAUAUAUAAGAAAAGUUAUGGACAGUUCAUUAAAAGUCUUGUACUGCAAAAA
Molecule: RNA transcript, 1542 nt
Organism: Solenopsis invicta (red fire ant)
Lineage: Eukaryota; Metazoa; Arthropoda; Insecta; Hymenoptera; Formicidae
Gene name: odorant receptor 9a
Exons: 10
Source: RefSeq, a predicted model, not a curated record